Rhincodon typus (whale shark) is the source of this 715-nucleotide long non-coding RNA. RefSeq lists it as uncharacterized. The record is from RefSeq and is a predicted model, not a curated record. NCBI's taxonomy places the organism in Eukaryota, Metazoa, Chordata, Chondrichthyes, Orectolobiformes, Rhincodontidae. The transcript has 5 exons.
CAGAAAGAAUCUCCAUCAAAAGAACACCAGGAAUUUCCUCAAGAAUUAGCAGCGCUUCAUGAAGAUGGUGAUUUACUUGGAAAUAUUUCUGAUCAGCUACAGAAGGCAGAAGCAGUCCUUCACAGGAAACAUGAGAAAGAAUUACAAGGGAUCAGAGAGGAGCACAAGACGGAACUUACACAACUUAAAGAAGACCUAUGUUCAAUUCAUAGUGCAGAGAAAAAACAGCUCCAGCAGAUACAUGCUGAGGAUGUUGACAAACUGAAACAGGAACUGCAAAAGAAAGAAGCAGCACAGUCAGAGUCCAGAAUAGAGGAACUGAAAGCCAGCCACUCUGAAUACGUCAAGGUUCUCCGAGAGGAAUGUGAGGCUGCAAUAGCAGGGCUCAUAAAACUACAUAAACAGGAGCAGAAAUCAUUGACUGAAUCCUUUACAAAAACUAUCACAUGUCUUCAGGAAAGAAUAGAAGAGCUUUCUGCCCAAGUCAACACAUUUCAAAAGAAGACAAAGAAAAUUGAGGAUGCAAUAUUAAGAAGAGAUCUCAGCAAAGACAAUCAGGUAUUUAAAAUUUUAACCAUGUGAGUUCAACAAGUCUGACUAGAUCUAACUGUUCAUCAUGGCAGUCGAUUAGCUCAGUUGGCUGGAUGGUUGGUUUGCAGAAUGUGAACAGUGUGGUUCAAUUCCUGCACUGGCUGAGCUUACAAUUUAGGAAUCA